RNAcentral lists this ribosomal RNA (1090 nucleotides) under uncultured delta proteobacterium. Its description in RNAcentral is "bacterial SSU rRNA". It matches the Rfam family "Bacterial small subunit ribosomal RNA", at positions 13 to 1073 of the family's 1533-position model. Lineage: Bacteria; Deltaproteobacteria. The record is from RNAcentral.
UUGAUCCUGGCUCAGAACGAACGCUGGCGGCGUGCUUAACACAUGCAAGUCGAACGAGAAAGUUAACUUCGGUUAGCGAGUAAAGUGGCGCACGGGUGAGUAACGCGUAGAUAAUCUAUCCAUGUGUCUGGGAUAACCCUUCGAAAGGGGGACUAAUACCGGAUAUAUUCGUACCUAUCGGGGUAUGAAGCAAAGGUGGCCUCUAUUUAUAAGCUAUCGCACGCGGAGGAGUUUGCGUACCAUUAGCUAGUUGGUGGGGUAAUGGCCUACCAAGGCAACGAUGGUUAGCGGGUCUGAGAGGAUGAUCCGUCACACUGGCACUGGAACACGGGCCAGACUCCUACGGGAGGCAGCAGUGAGGAAUAUUGCGCAAUGGGGGCAACCCUGACGCAGCGACGCCGCGUGAGUGAGGAAGGCCUUCGGGUCGUAAAGCUCUGUCAGAAGGGAAGAAGUGCGUGUAGGUUAAUACCCUGUGCGUUUGACGGUACCUUCAAAGGAAGCACCGGCUAACUCCGUGCCAGCAGCCGCGGUAAUACGGAGGGUGCAAGCGUUGUUCGGAAUCACUGGGCGUAAAGGGCGCGUAGGCGGCCUGAUUAGUCAGAUGUGAAAGCCCACAGCUCAACCGUGGAAGUGCAUUUGAAACUGUCAGGCUUGAGUAUCAGAGGGGAAAGUGGAAUUCCCGGUGUAGAGGUGAAAUUCGUAGAUAUCGGGAGGAAUACCGGUGGCGAAGGCGACUUUCUGGCUGAAUACUGACGCUGAGGCGCGAAAGCGUGGGGAGCAAACAGGAUUAGAUACCCUGGUAGUCCACGCCGUAAACGAUGUGAACUAGAUGUUGGAGGUAUCGAUCCCUUCGGUGUCGGAGCUAACGCAUUAAGUUCACCGCCUGGGGAGUACGGUCGCAAGAUUAAAACUCAAAGGAAUUGACGGGGGCCCGCACAAGCGGUGGAGUAUGUGGUUUAAUUCGAUGCAACGCGAAGAACCUUACCUGGUCUUGACAUCCCGGAGAUCUCCUGGAAACAGGAGAGUGCUUUCAUUAGAGAGAAUCCGAUGACAGGUGCUGCAUGGCUGUCGUCAGCUCGUGUCGUGAGAU